CAGGUGCUGUGAAUGAGUGCAGGUUAGGCUGCAGGUAGGCAGAGCCCUGGCGGGGUUGGGAGAGGCUUCGGAGACAGAGGCCGAGAGCAGCUAUGUAAGGAUUGAGACUGCCCCUGCAGGAAAGGAUCGCAAGAAUGUAAAAUCAGCAUGGAAGGAAGCGGCGUCUUCUGGGAGCCAUUUGGACGGAAGAAGCUGUAUGGAGGACUAACCUGUGACCUGACCUGACCUCUCUCUUUACCGGAGCGUCAGUGUGGGACACCAGCCCCUCGGAAAAAUAUCCGCAAACUUUGUAAAACCAGGUGACUCAACAGAAACAAAUGAAGUGGAAAACAUGAAGUGACAUGUCCUGGCCAUCUUACUGCCUCAUCUUUCAGAAACCCUCACCUCCCCCACAAUCUGGCGAAGGUCGAAUCUGAUGAUGGAUGCUCUGGGACGCCUCGUGCAUCGGCCACAUUACGUGGCGUUGCAAGACCGAACAAUAAAGCAGCCUGCCUUGGGAACCACGGCAACCCAACAGUGUCAUAGCAAUGAGGCAACGGCAGAUGAUUGACUCUCACGAAAGAGACUGCUGCAGCAGUGAGCUCUCUCGAGCAGCGUAGAAGAGUGCCAGGGAUUAGAGAAAGGAGGAACCCUUUCCGCUGAUAUGGAUGCAUCUCCCUCCGAUGAGAAGCUGGGGGGUCCAGCGCGGUGGCAGAGGUGGAGACAGCAGAGAUUACGGGAUCGGUGCAGCAGCUCUCACUGGAGAUCCAGGGGGGUCCAGAAGAUCCUGAUGUUAAGGCAAAAACCAAGGUGCAGAGAUGUCAGGAAUCUGAUUUCCAAAACAACUUGGGAGCCAGGUCUCCGAGGCAUUCAGGAGCAGGAAUCUGGUUCUGAGAGGUGGUCUGCUUUGGGGAAUCUGUGUGCACGCCAGGGGCUGCAUGCCACCCAGUCUAGCCUUAGGAAGAAAUUAAUUUUCAUCAAUACAAUCCAAAUGAUUCACCCUAACUUGUGGAAACGCUGUGCUGGAGAAGAAAGAGCUCCCAGUCUCCUCCAUGACUCACUGUGUUCUUGGAUGCAGCCCAUCACAAUGUAUCAGCAAAUCAUGUUAUAUGUGAGAAGGGAAGAGGACGCAGCUGGCGAAGUGCAGGAAACAUCGGAGAUCAUGGCCUGUACUGGUGCAGCCAGCUUGGAGAGAAGGAUGAGAGUCUAUCAAAGAUAAUGCCGUGUGAUGCGAAUGCACCUAUUUCUAGUGAGUCUCGGUGCUUCGAAGCUGGGGACCGCGGUUCUUAUUUUCCCACUGGGUACCCGUGACGGAGAGAGGGAUCACCAGCUGGCCUGCUGCCUUGUGAAGGAUGAAUCCCCCGGGCUCCCCUGAGGCCUCUUUGCUGACUCUUCCUCUCUAUCUCCUCAUUUGCUGGCCGCUUCUGCUAACAAACAAACACGGUCUCCUUGCCAAGUUUGCGGGAGAAAUGCUCCCCCGUCCUGAUUUCAUCACUGCAGUGCUCCGGCAGAUGAAUAAAAGGAAGACGAGCAACAUGUUGCUCACAAUGGACAACCAACCUUGCAACGCCCGGAGGCACCUCCCACCAUGCCGGGCCUGACUGAGUUUGGCCCAUGAGGCAGGAAUUUCUCAGUCUUUCAAGCUUGUUAAGUCUCUCGGAGUGAGUAAAUAAUGGAGAAGGUUUGGAGGAAGUAGUUAUCUACUCUCCUCUUCUGCGUCUCAAAGGAGAGUUUGGUGGAUGAGACUGCUGACACUAUAACCAAGGAGUUAAGAAGGACAACGGCUUUGCCUCUGACACAUGCUGUAGGAACACAGCAAUUCCUGCUGCUUUAAUUGAUCUGUCUUGAAGUGUGGCUCGUCCUGCACGUAGCUUGCUUCCUUCCUUCCUUCCUUGUCAUUUUUUGGUUGCUCAUCCAUAGUAAAACAUGCUGACCUGUUACGGGGAGGCAAAACACAAUGCUUAGGCGUUACGCCUGAUGGAUUCAAAGUCCUUGUCUUGCUCAUGCCUGGCGUCGUCCCAGGUUUAGAACUUGGUCACCUCAGAAAUGUCUGGCUCCAAACCCAAAGUCACUUGGAUAAAAAGAGUUUUAAACUCACGCCUUCUCUAGUUUAUUCAGCUUAUUGCAUGACUGCGUCUUCGACAAAUGUUAGAACCGCUCACAUCUGCUAUGGGAGGGACCCAAAGUCCGUAAGAAUAACUCCCAGUGAACCCAAAGGGGUUUAGAUGAAAUCCUGUGGGUCAUGCUGGAAUACCAAACACCAGGAAUGGAAAAAUAACUUGGUGUCAGUUUGUAAUAGGAUCCUUUCCACUGACUUCAAUGAGAAUUAGAUGAGUGUCUUGGAAAACCUAUGGCAGAGAUAUGCAGAAUAUAUGUUGUCAUUACCUAUAGAGUUGCUUAGAAAAUAUCCAUUUAAAUUACAUUUCAAUUAAAAAUA
Alligator mississippiensis (American alligator) is the source of this 2416-nucleotide long non-coding RNA. RefSeq lists it as uncharacterized. NCBI's taxonomy places the organism in Eukaryota, Metazoa, Chordata, Crocodylia, Alligatoridae. The record is from RefSeq and is a predicted model, not a curated record. The transcript is spliced from 10 exons.